This 291-nucleotide ribosomal RNA is filed under the name uncultured bacterium. Its description in RNAcentral is "partial 16S ribosomal RNA". It matches the Rfam family "Bacterial small subunit ribosomal RNA", at positions 28 to 307 of the family's 1533-position model. The record is from RNAcentral.
GACGAACGCUGGCGGCGUGCUUAACACAUGCAAGUGGAGCGACGAACCGGGCUUCGGCCCGGGGCAAAGCCGCGAACGGGUGAGUAACACGUGGGUAACCUGCCCCGACUGACCGGGACGAACCCGACGGAAACUACGGGCGUAAUACCGGAUGAGCUCGUGCCGCAUCAGUGGCACGAGGAAGGAAGCUUCGGCCUCCGCAUUGGGUAUGGGCCCGCGGCCCAUUAGCUUGUUGGUGGGGUAACGGCCUACCAAGGCUUCGAUGGGUAGCUGGCCUGAGAGGACGAUCAG